GGCACUGCUGAGAAGCACCUGAGGUUCCUUCAGACAGCUGGCGGGCCUUACACUCUUGGCCCCGUAGGCCAGGACAGACAGACAGGUGGGCCCAGAAAGGACCUGGAGCCAUUGACUCAAGUCCGAGUGGCUGCAAGCCGCUGCUGGACAGAACCAGAGAGAAUGGGAAACAUGCCACCAACUUUUAUAGUUACAUGUCAGGUGCAGGGACACGUCCUGAGCAAUGUCCUGUUAGGUGAUUUUGUCACUGUACCAACCUAGAGUGUGCUUACACAAGCCUACGACAGCCACAGGUCACUGGGCAGUAUUACCUUGUGGGUCCACUGUUGUGUUACGUGGUCCAUCAUCGGCCCAAACGUCCUUGUGGCGUGGGACAGCGUUUACACGGCUGCUUUCCAGACUGAGGUGCCCCCUUUGGCCCUUGGUCCUCCUCUGACCGUCUUAAUGGCCCCAAGUUGGCGUUACAGGGGAGCUCUUAGGAAGAGGGGUAUGUCUGUCCAGAAGCUGGCAGGGCCAUGACGGUUUUGUCUCUGUUUGCGACAGAGGCUGAGUGGCUGUCAUCCUUUUCCCACCAGCCCCCUUCGCCAGAGUUGGGGGACAGCCAGGAGUUUUGUGGUUAAAUAAUUUUUUGACCUUCAGCUAUAGGACAUCGGUGCCGUGUUAAGUACUUCAGAAGACCUGGGAGAUAAGAAAUCUGACCUCCUUUUCUAGAUGAAACCCAGACUGAGCGAAGAGCUAAGGAAAAUAUAGAAGCUUGACUACAAGAGGCCUAGGCUGGGUCUAGCAGCCCGUAACAAAUGCUUUUGGUUUUCUUUAUAACAAGGGAAAUUCCUUCACCUCAGGCUCGGAGGAAGUUGAGAGGUCUAGCAUGACUUAACACACGUUUUAAGAGUGAAUUAUCUUUGGGGGUAACUUAGGGACAAACAUCCCUGGAGGCUGCCCCGUCCUCCUCUGCCCCCUUCCCCAGCCUGCCCCUCGUCCUCCCACAUCCUCCCCUUCUCCCUCCACCCAGUGGGGGCCCCGAUGAGCGGCAGUGUGUGGAGAGCAGGAGACUGAUACGGACACACCUCUGCUCUCUUUCUUCUUUCUUUCCUUUUGCAGUGCUGGGGAUCGAGCCCAGGCUCUAAUGCCAUUGAGCCACACCCCCCAGGCCUUCUCUAUUUUUUAGGACCUUCCUGAGGAGGCCAGUCCACCUCGUUUGCUUUAGGAUGAAGGCUUUUGGGUUGCUGUCGAGACUAUAAUGGUGAUUUUAGCCCGUGGCUUAUUGCACACAACUUAUUAUAUUUAAGGCAUGGGGGGGUCUCCUGUGAGCAAGGUUCCUAUCACCCACUGUGGUGGCUGUGCAUGCUUCACUGACCUAUGGGGACAGAGUCACUGGCUGCUCUGUUCCCUAGAAGAACGGACAAGCUGCCAGGUGCACACCUAUAAUCCCAGUGGUUUGGGAAGCCGAGGCAGGCGGAUUGAGAGUUCAAAGCCAGCCUCGGCAACUUAGUGAGGCCCUGACCAACUCAGCAAGACCUGUCUCUAAAUAAAAUGCAGAAAAGGGCUGAGGGUGUGGCUCAGUGGUUGAGUGUCCCCGAUUCAGUCCCUGGUACCAAAAAAAAAGAAGGGACAGGCCAAGCCUCCAAACGGACAGAAAUUCCUGGCCUACCCUCCAAGUCCGCUCCGUGGGGUGGGACACGCGGGAGGGAGGUGUCUUUGGGAAGAGCAGAGAGGUGGCCCGGCUUGGCUUCUCAUGUCUGACUGCCUUCCGCCAAGGUUUAAGUUCCAGGUUGUCAUCAGUGGCCGCGAGUUCCCCCCGGCGGAAGCUGGCAGCAAGAAGGUGGCCAAGCAGGAUGCAGCUCUGAAAGCCAUGACGAUCCUACUGCGGGAGGCCAAAGCCAAGGACAGUGGGAAGCCAGAGGACUUGUCCUGCUGUUCCCCAGAAAAAGAGCCAGAGGAGGUAGGGACCUGCCCAAGGUGGGUCUCGUCUCUCAGGUCUCAAGGGGUAGCAUCUUAACUGGCCCCUGGAAGCGAUCCUGGUCUAAAAGCCCUGGUCUCUAGUCCCAAGACAGCUUCCCGCCUCCUCUGCCCACCUCCAACCCGCUUUCCUCUCCUUCCCAGCCCCCCUCCUGCCCCCUUGAGCCUAGCUGGAGGUGCAGAACGUCAAGCCUGGAAGAGGCUGAAGCAGUACGGUGCUCCGUCUCCACUUUGGGCAGAUAGCUUACUCUCUCCUGCCAUGCCCGGGAAGGCCACCCUUAACACUGACGGAUCCGAGAGUCCCCGUCCGUCCCUUCUGCGGAGGCGGAGCAGCCGGCCUGGUCUCAGUUCCUCGUGCUUUAUUCUGUCUUCUCGUCUCACUUUCUCCAGACAGCGGAGCCCCAGCCCACCGCCACCUCAACGUCGUCCCUGUUUUCUGGGAAGAGCCCCGUCACUACCUUGCUGGAGUGUAUGCACAAACUGGGCAACUCCUGUGAAUUCCGGCUCCUGUCCAAAGAAGGCCCUGCCCAUGACCCCAAGUACGUCCGGGGAGGGACGGUGUCUCCAAGAGGCUUUCUCAGAGACAGGCUCGUCUUCCUCUUCAGAGACGGCAGCUUAUUGUCUCUGAGCAGUUUCUUCUGCUGCAUGUGGAAGGGCCUUCAGGACCUGGUUGCUGCUUGGAAAGCAGAGAAGCUGGAAUCGGGAGUCCAGAGGGACCAAGGGCAAGGAGGGGUUGGUAGCGUGGGGGUCACUGUUGGUGGGACAGAAAGGUCCAGGGCCUUGGUGGGCCUGAGCAGCUCUCUGAGGGUCUGUGGACUCACAUAUCCGAGAGAAGGGCUCUGGAGGAGGGGAAAGUUUUGCAUGUUGAAAGUGGGGAGCCAGGCUGAGAGACCCGGGCAGCAGGUGGGCGAGGGGCAGCGGCUAUGCAAGGCAGAAGUGACUAUAGAAGGUGAUGUGCACAAGAAGUCGCAUGUAGUAGAGAACGUUAGCAAGUUGGGCCGGUCUCUGCAAUCACAACCUUCCUCCCUCUGGUCAGGUUCCAGUACUGUGUGGCGGUGGGAGCCCAAACCUUCCCUACCGUGAGUGCUCCCAGCAAGAAAGUGGCAAAGCAGAUGGCCGCAGAGGAGGCCAUGAAGGCCCUGCACGAGGAGGCCACCAACUCGGUUGAUGACCAGGUGGGCGUUUCUCCUGCUGAAACACCGUGGGGCGAUCUAGCAACGGAGCAGGUCAGGGUGGCCCACGUUUCUUUGAAUGUUCAUGGCUCCUUUUUGUUUGGCUGAUUCUCCUUUAGUCUGGAGGUGCCAACUCAGAAUCACUUGACAACCUGGACUCUGGGAUGCCCAACAGGAUCAGGAGGAUCGGUGAGCUCGUCAGAUACCUGAACACCAACCCCGUGGGCGGCUUGUUAGAGUACGCCCGCUCCCAUGGCUUUGCUGCUGAGUUCAAGUUGGUGGACCAGUCUGGACCCCCUCAUGAGCCCAAGUGAGUGUUCCAGACCCAGCUCCUGCUGGGUGUCAUCAGGUAGGGGUGGUGUGUCGUCCAGGGAAAGAAAGGAUGUGCGCCGCUGUGAAGGACAGGGAAGGCAGGUGAUGAAACAAGCCAACCCUCUCUCCACAGCCUCUUGGAUGAAGUUAGUCUUCCAUCUUGAGGAUACAGUGAGCAUUUUAUAUAUAUAUAUAUAUUUACUUUUAAAUAUAUAUUAAAUAUAUAUUAUAUAAAUAUAUAUUAAAUAUAUAUUAAAUAUAUAUUAUAUUUUAAAUAUAUAUAUAUAUAUAUUUACUUUUUUUAUUUCUGAAAGAAAAAAAAAAAAAUAUAUAUAUAUAUAUAUAUAUAAAAUCAUUCAAACUGACCAAAUAAGUCUAUAGCGAAAAGUCUUAUUUCUAUCCCAGACUUCUCUCCUAAGAUCCUCAUACUAUCAACUUGAAUUUCCUUCUGGAAAUUUCUAUGCAUAACUAGCACAGUUUCCUUUCUUUUUUUCUUUUUUUUUAAACAAGAAUAAGCAUAGAGCAUGCUUUCUGUUCAACACCUUGUGCCAGUGUGUCUCAGAUAGUGUCUCAGGUAAAUACAGAUCAGAAUAUACAGCUCUACCAAGGUCUCUUGCACAGCUGAAUGAUAUUUCAUUGACUAAAUACUUGCAAUUUUAAAAUUACUUAUUAAAUAAGAGAUAUGACAGACCUUUUCUAAAAUAGAUACUGAUGCACCACCACCUAGUUUAAGAAAAUAAAAUGUUGCUAGUACUUGGGAACACGCCACCCCAACUUGGCAUAAUUUGUUUAACCCACUUCCAGUGACAUUUAGGUUGCUUUGGUCACACUAUUAGAAACACUCCAGUUGAAUUUCCUCAUACUGUAUGCUUUUGCUUUCAUUAGCAAAACUGUCAGUAGUAAUUUUUUUUAAUAUUUAUUUUUUAGUUAUAGGUGGACACAAUAUCUUUAUUUUAUUUUUAUGUGGGGCUGAGGAUUGAACCCGGUGCCUCAUGCAUGGUAGGCGAGCGCUCUACCUCUGAGCCACAACCCCAGCCCCUAUCAGUAGUAAAUUUUUAGGAGUGAAAUUUUGGGGCCAUAAGCAAUAUGUUUUUUUAAGGUUUAAAAAUUUUUGUAUAGGUAAUAGACUACUCAAAAAUUUUUUUAAAAUUCAGAAAAAUAUAAGAAGUUCAUUCUCAGUCUCCCUUGGGCCUAGCUGUCAUCUCCUAUCCACAACCCCCAUCAACAUUUAAUGAUUUUGCAUUAUAAUAUGUCUCUCUUGAGUGUGUUUGUGUAAAUACAGGCAAGUGCAUCUCCCCUGUUGGUUUCAUAUAAGCAUUGAUCUAUAACUUGAUCUUAUACAACAAUAUAAUAGCAUUCUAUAACCCUGUAUUCUUUGAAUAAUGCUGCAAAGUGUAUUGUUAGAGUGCACGUGAUUUAGUUAACCAGCUCCUCUUGGAGAACACUUGGGUUGUUUCCAGAAUUCUGCUGUUAUGAACAAUAGUAUAGCCUGUUUAUGAGCAUUCGAAAUUUUAAUAUGUAAAUUUAUGUAAACGAGUGAUUUUCCUCCAAUGAGAUCACACCAUCUUAUGCUUUUACCAACAAUAUGUAAGAAUGGCUCUUCCCCAGCUCCACCCAGGCUAAUAUGAUAUAAUCAAAAUUGUUAUCUUUGGGGGGCUGGGGAUGUGGCUCAGGGGCAGAGCACUUGCCUAGCACCUGUGAGGCACUGAGUUCGAUCCUCAGCACCACACAAAAAUAAACAAAUAAACUAAGGCAUGCUGUCUAUCUACAACUAUAAAAAACAUUUUUUAAAAAUCUCAUCUUUGCCAUUCUAAAAUGGAAAAAAAAACAGUAUUUUGCUGUAUUGCAAAGAUUAAUCUGUUAGGAUAUUUAUUAUUACUAUUUACCAUAUUAAUGGAUCACAGGAGAGAAACCACAUAAUUAUCUCCAGAGAUUCUGAAAAGGCAUGUAUAAAACUCAGCAUCCAUUCAGAUUAACAAAACAAGCUGUCAGUAAAAUUAAAAUGAUUGAAUACCUCCUUACCAUGAUAAAAAAUACAUUUGAAGUCAAAAGCCAGCAGCUUAUUUAACGAUGAACCUAGAACUGUUCCCAUUGAAGUCAGGAGGGAGACAUAGUUGUCAGUGUCAUCAUUAUGAGGCAUUAUUCUGGAAUUCUAGCCAAUGCCAGUCAAGAGAAAGAAAUAGUGUACAUGCCAGGCGUGUGGUGCACACCUGUAAUCCCAGGGACUCAGGAGGCUGCACUGGGAUCCUCCUGUCUCAGUCUCCUGAGUCUCGGGAUACAGACGUGUGCCACCAUACCCAUGAUUGAUAGAACUCUUAAGCACGUACUGUUCAUGUACUCAGUACAACUUUAAGGCCAGCCUCAGCAACUUAACAAGUCCUAAGCAACUUAGUGAGACCCUAUCUCAAAAUAGCAAAAACUAAAAGAGCUGCAGAUAUAGCUGGUGGUAAAGCACCCCUGGGUUCAAUUCCAAGUACCAAAAACAAAGAAGAAAGAAAACCAAAUAUACAAAGAAGAAAGAGGUAGUUAGUUAAUCAUUAUUUGCAGAUGACUUGAUUGUAUACCUGGAAUAUUUACCUGAAAACCAAGGAAAUGCAUAGGCAGAGAAUUGAGAAAAGUCGGAAAUCGCAGUGAAAUGCGUAAGAAUCCAGAGCUUGCCUGUGGGCUGGGCUGUGGCUCAGUGGAGGAGCGCUCGCCUAGCACUGGGUUCCAUCCUCAGCACCACAUGAAAAAUAAAUAUAUAAACAAAUAAAAUGAUUUUUAAAAAGAGCUUAUCUGUAUGCAGGAAUAAGCAAUUGGGAAAUGCAGUGGAAGAAAUUACCCUAUUACAACAGCAACUAAAAAGAUGAACUACCAGGCUGGGGUAUAGCUCAGUUGGUAGAGUGCUUGCCUUGCACGCACAAGGCCCUGGGUUCAAUCCCCAGCACCACAGGAAAAAAAAAAAAAAAGAUAAACUACCUAGGCACAGUCCUAAUAGGAACUAUGUAGGAACAAUGUUAAGUAAAACGGUAAUCAAAGAUAUGAAGGAAGACUUGAUUAAAUGGGAGGAAGAAUCUGUUAUUAGACAGUAAAGGUUUUUGUGUUUUGGUUUUUUGUGGUCUGGGGAUCAACUGAGAACCUCACAUGUGCUAGGUAUAUAUUCUACCACUGAGCUACACCCCAGGCCAAGUAUUUUAAAGAUAGCAGCUGUCCCCAGAUUAAUCUUCACACUUAAUAUGGUCCCAAUAAAAAUAUCAACAGAAUUUAUUUUGGAAGUAGAAAACUUGAUUCUGAAUUUCAUAUGAAAAACAAAUACAUAAAAAUAGCUAGGAAAUUCAGAGAAAAAAGGACUGAUCCUACCAGAUUUUUUUUUUUAAGAAUUUAACCUUUAUUUUAUUUAUUUGUUUGUUUAUUUAUUUAUUUAUUUAAUAUUUAUUUUUUUAGUUUUUGGCAGACACAACAUCUUUGUUUGUAUGUGGUGCUGAGGAUCGAACCUGGGCUGCACGCAUGCCAGGCGAGCGCACUACCGCUUGAGCCACAUCCCCAGCCCCUACCAGAUUUUUUUACCUGCUGCCAAGGGUUGAACCCAGUGCCUCACCCGCAACAGGCAAGCGCUCUACAACCCCAGCCCCUACCAGAUUUUAAAACAGUGAUGUGAUGUACAUAGCUAGAAAGGUGCUUCCGGGGAUCAGACGGGAGCACCCAAAAGGUCGAAAACCAUAUGAAUGGUAUUUUUGUAUGUUGUAAACAUAAGGCUCCAAAUGAGUGGGGAAAUGGUGGUAGUGGGGCUGCCAGCUCUCCAUCCUGAAAACAAAACCAGAGCUGUUUGUCUGCCCCCUUCCCGACUCCCAGACCCCUACAGAUCCAAGGUUUAAAUGUAAAAUAAAUGAAAUCUGAUCACUAGAUAAAAGGAGGGAUAUUUCUAGAAUCUUCAAGCAGCAAAGCCUUUCCAAUCAAAGACACAAAACGUAAAGUCAUCAGGUAAAAAGCCCAGAAAUGUUAAUAGUAAGAAAAAAAUGGUGCGUAGUCAAAAGACCACCUGAGAAAAACACCACAGUGCCCAGCAGCCCGAGGCUAAUUUCUUUGAUACGUGAAGGGUUCUACAGAAAUCCCAAUGGAAAACCUUAGGAGAAAACUAAAGUAUUGGGCUGGGGAUGUGGCUCAAGCGGUAGCGCGCUCACCUGGCAUGCGUGCGGCCCGGGUUCGAUUCUCAGCACCACAUACAAACAAAGAUGUUGUGUCCGCCAAAUACUAAAAAAUAAAUGUUGAAAUUCUCUCUCUCUCUACCUCUCUCUCACUCUCUCUUUAUAAAAAAAAAAAAAAAAAAAAAAAACUAAAGUAUGUGAGCUGUACAUUCAUAGAAAAGGAAAUACAGUGAAUUGCCAGGUGGUGGCACACCUGUAGCCUGUAAUCCCAGCAGCUCAGGAGGCUGAGGCAGGAGGAUCACAGGUUCAAAGCCAGCCUCAGCAACUUAGUGAGGCCUUAACCAACUCAGUGAGACCCUGUCUCAAAAUAAAAAUGGCCGGGAAUACAUCUCGGUGGUAAAGUGCCCCGGGUUCAGUCCCUGGUACCAAAAGAAAAAGGAAAAGAAGUACAAUGAAUUGUCAGUAAACAGAAAGGUACACGACCUCAUUUUGUAAAUUAAAUUGACGCUUUGACAGCAUACCUACAAAACAGCGGUGCAGUUAGCCUGUGCAUUACAGCUGAGUGUGAGAACAGUGCCUCCAGCCCAGACACACAGUGCACGGCGUUUGUNACCCUCUCUCCACAGCCUCUUGGAUGAAGUUAGUCUUCCAUCUUGAGGAUACAGUUUCUCUUCAGUGACAGUGAGCAUUAUAUAUAUAUUUACUUUUUUUAUUUCUGAAAGAAAAAAAUAUAUAUAUAUAUAUAUAAAAUCAUUCAAACUGACCAAAUAAGUCUAUAGUGAAAAGUCUUAUUUCUAUCCCAGACUUCUCUCCUAAGAUCCUCAUACUAUCAACUUGAAUUUCCUUCUGGAAAUUUCUAUGCAUAACUAGCACAGUUUCCUUUCUUUUUUUCUUUUUUUUUAAACAAGAAUAAGCAUAGAGCAUGCUUUCUGUUCAACACCUUGUGCCAGUGUGUCUCAGAUAGUGUCUCAGGUAAAUACAGAUCAGAAUAUACAGCUCUACCAAGGUCUCUUGCACAGCUGAAUGAUAUUUCAUUGACUAAAUACUUGCAAUUUUAAAAUUACUUAUUAAAUAAGAGAUAUGACAGACCUUUUCUAAAAUAGAUACUGAUGCACCACCACCUAGUUUAAGAAAAUAAAAUGUUGCUAGUACUUGGGAACACACCACCCCAACUUGGCAUAAUUUGUUUAACCCACUUCCAGUGACAUUUAGGUUGCUUUGGUCACACUAUUAGAAACACUCCAGUUGAAUUUCCUCAUACUGUAUGCUUUUGCUUUCAUUAGCAAAACUGUCAGUAGUAAUUUUUUUAAUAUUUAUUUUUUAGUUAUAGGUGGACACAAUAUCUUUAUUUUAUUUUUAUGUGGGGCUGAGGAUUGAACCCGGUGCCUCAUGCAUGGUAGGCGAGCGCUCUACCUCUGAGCCACAACCCCAGCCCCUGUCAGUAGUAAAUUUUUAGGAGUGAAAUUUUGGGGCCAUAAACAAUAUGUUUUUUUAAGGUUUAAAAAUUUUUGUAUAGGUAAUAGACUACUCAAAAAUUUUUUUAAAAUUCAGAAAAAUAUAAGAAGUUCAUUCUCAGUCUCCCUUGGGCCUAGCUGUCAUCUCCUAUCCACAACCCCCAUCAACAUUUAAUGAUUUUGCAUUAUAAUAUGUCUCUCUUGAGUGUGUUUGUGUAAAUACAGGCAAGUGCAUCUCCCCUGUUGGUUUCAUAUAAGCAUUGAUCUAUAACUUGAUCUUAUACAACAAUAUAAUAGCAUUCUAUAACCCUGUAUUCUUUGAAUAAUGCUGCAAAGUGUAUUGUUAGAGUGCACGUGAUUUAGUUAACCAGCUCCUCUUGGAGAACACUUGGGUUGUUUCCAGAAUUCUGCUGUUAUGAACAAUAGUAUAGCCUGUUUAUGAGCAUUCGAAAUUUUAAUAUGUAAAUUUAUGUAAACGAGUGAUUUUCCUCCAGUGAGAUCACACCAUCUUAUGCUUUUACCAACAAUAUGUAAGAAUGGCUCUUCCCCAGCUCCACCCAGGCUAAUAUGAUAUAAUCAAAAUUGUUAUCUUUGGGGGGCUGGGGAUGUGGCUCAGGGGCAGAGCACUUGCCUAGCACCUGUGAGGCACUGAGUUCGAUCCUCAGCACCACACAAAAAUAAACAAAUAAACUAAGGCAUGCUGUCUAUCUACAACUAUAAAAAACAUUUUUUAAAAAUCUCAUCUUUGCCAUUCUAAAAUGGAAAAAAAAACAGUAUUUUGCUGUAUUGCAAAGAUUAAUCUGUUAGGAUAUUUAUUAUUACUAUUUACCAUAUUAAUGGAUCACAGGAGAGAAACCACAUAAUUAUCUCCAGAGAUUCUGAAAAGGCAUGUAUAAAACUCAGCAUCCAUUCAGAUUAACAAAACAAGCUGUCAGUAAAAUUAAAAUGAUUGAAUACCUCCUUACCAUGAUAAAAAAUACAUUUGAAGUCAAAAGCCAGCAGCUUAUUUAACGAUGAACCUAGAACUGUUCCCAUUGAAGUCAGGAGGGAGACAUAGUUGUCAGUGUCAUCAUUAUGAGGCAUUAUUCUGGAAUUCUAGCCAAUGCCAGUCAAGAGAAAGAAAUAGUGUACAUGCCAGGCGUGUGGUGCACACCUGUAAUCCCAGGGACUCAGGAGGCUGCACUGGGAUCCUCCUGUCUCAGUCUCCUGAGUCUCGGGAUACAGACGUGUGCCACCAUACCCAUGAUUGAUAGAACUCUUAAGCACGUACUGUUCAUGUACUCAGUACAACUUUAAGGCCAGCCUCAGCAACUUAACAAGUCCUAAGCAACUUAGUGAGACCCUAUCUCAAAAUAGCAAAAACUAAAAGAGCUGCAGAUAUAGCUGGUGGUAAAGCACCCCUGGGUUCAAUUCCAAGUACCAAAAACAAAGAAGAAAGAAAACCAAAUAUACAAAGAAGAAAGAGGUAGUUAGUUAAUCAUUAUUUGCAGAUGACUUGAUUGUAUACCUGGAAUAUUUACCUGAAAACCAAGGAAAUGCAUAGGCAGAGAAUUGAGAAAAGUCGGAAAUCGCAGUGAAAUGCGUAAGAAUCCAGAGCUUGCCUGUGGGCUGGGCUGUGGCUCAGUGGAGGAGCGCUCGCCUAGCACUGGGUUCCAUCCUCAGCACCACAUGAAAAAUAAAUAUAUAAACAAAUAAAAUGAUUUUUAAAAAGAGCUUAUCUGUAUGCAGGAAUAAGCAAUUGGGAAAUGCAGUGGAAGAAAUUACCCUAUUACAACAGCAGCUAAAAAGAUGAACUACCAGGCUGGGGUAUAGCUCAGUUGGUAGAGUGCUUGCCUUGCACACACAAGGCCCUGGGUUCAAUCCCCAGCACCACAGGAAAAAAAAAAAAAGAUAAACUACCUAGGCACAGUCCUAAUAGGAACUAUGUAGGAACAAUGUUAAGUAAAACGGUAAUCAAAGAUAUGAAGGAAGACUUGAUUAAAUGGGAGGAAGAAUCUGUUAUUAGACAGUAAAGGUUUUUGUGUUUUGGUUUUUUGUGGUCUGGGGAUCAACUGAGAACCUCACAUGUGCUAGGUAUAUAUUCUACCACUGAGCUACACCCCAGGCCAAGUAUUUUAAAGAUAGCAGCUGUCCCCAGAUUAAUCUUCACACUUAAUAUGGUCCCAAUAAAAAUAUCAACAGAAUUUAUUUUGGAAGUAGAAAACUUGAUUCUGAAUUUCAUAUGAAAAACAAAUACAUAAAAAUAGCUAGGAAAUUCAGAGAAAAAAGGACUGAUCCUACCAGAUUUUUUUUUUUAAGAAUUUAACCUUUAUUUUAUUUAUUUGUUUGUUUAUUUAUUUAUUUAUUUAAUAUUUAUUUUUUUAGUUUUUGGCAGACACAACAUCUUUGUUUGUAUGUGGUGCUGAGGAUCGAACCUGGGCUGCACGCAUGCCAGGCGAGCGCACUACCGCUUGAGCCACAUCCCCAGCCCCUACCAGAUUUUUUUACCUGCUGCCAAGGGUUGAACCCAGUGCCUCACCCGCAACAGGCAAGCGCUCUACAACCCCAGCCCCUACCAGAUUUUAAAACAGUGAUGUGAUGUACAUAGCUAGAAAGGUGCUUCCGGGGAUCAGACGGGAGCACCCAAAAGGUCGAAAACCAUAUGAAUGGUAUUUUUGUAUGUUGUAAACAUAAGGCUCCAAAUGAGUGGGGAAAUGGUGGUAGUGGGGCUGCCAGCUCUCCAUCCUGAAAACAAAACCAGAGCUGUUUGUCUGCCCCCUUCCCGACUCCCAGACCCCUACAGAUCCAAGGUUUAAAUGUAAAAUAAAUGAAAUCUGAUCACUAGAUAAAAGGAGGGAUAUUUCUAGAAUCUUCAAGCAGCAAAGCCUUUCCAAUCAAAGACACAAAACAUAAAGUCAUCAGGUAAAAAGCCCAGAAAUGUUAAUAGUAAGAAAAAAAUGGUGCGUAGUCAAAAGACCACCUGAGAAAAACACCACAGUGCCCAGCAGCCCGAGGCUAAUUUCUUUGAUACGUGAAGGGUUCUACAGAAAUCCCAAUGGAAAACCUUAGGAGAAAACUAAAGUAUGUGAGCUGUACAUUCAUAGAAAAGGAAAUACAGUGAAUUGCCAGGUGGUGGCACACCUGUAGCCUGUAAUCCCAGCAGCUCAGGAGGCUGAGGCAGGAGGAUCACAGGUUCAAAGCCAGCCUCAGCAACUUAGUGAGGCCUUAACCAACUCAGUGAGACCCUGUCUCAAAAUAAAAAGGGCCGGGAAUACGUCUCGGUGGUAAAGUGCCCCAGGUUCAGUCCCUGGUACCAAAAGAAAAAGGAAAAGAAGUACAAUGAAUUGUCAGUAAACAGAAAGGUACACGACCUCAUUUUGUAAAUUAAAUUGACGCUUUGACAGCAUACCUACAAAACAGCGGUGCAGUUAGCCUGUGCAUUACAGCUGAGUGUGAGAACAGUGCCUCCAGCCCAGACACACAGUGCACGGCGUUUGUGCAGAGGUCUUCAUGCAGCAUUGUUCACAGCAGCAAGAGGCUGGACGUGGUCUCAAGCACCAUCAUUUGCACACUGGUUAAGUCAGCCGUGGUGCAUCUCCACUAAAGAGUACUAAACAACCUUGUAAAGCACAGCGUGUCUGUGUGAGACCAUCUCUGAAACCUGUGCGCAGAGGGGAAGGCACUGUGGAUGGCAGGGGAGAGACAUAGUGUGUGUGUGUGUGUGUGUGUGUGUGUGUACACGCGCAGAGUAUUUUCUGGAAGGAUUACGACAGUCUGGUAGCUGGUAAUGCACUGCAUCUGGGGAAGGAAGGACACAUUUCAUUGUAUUCUCUGAGUGGUUGGAAUUUUUACUGGUGUGGUAUCUAACUUUUCAAAUAAAAAAAAAGCCAUUGGGCUGAGGUUGUAGCUCAAUAGUAGAGAGAGCUCUCCCUUGCACACGUGAGGCCCUGGGUUGGAUCCUCAGCACCACAGAAAAAUAAGUAAAUAAAGUAAAGGUAUUGUGUCCACCUCCAAUGAAAAAUAAAUAUGUUAAAAACAUCAAGGAGAAAAGCUCAUGAAAAUGGCACCUUGUUAUACAUUUUGUUUUUAGAGUAACAACAUUCAUUUAUUAGUGUUUACAUGUGAUUUGCAUUUACUUUUAUGUGAAAUACCUUUUCUGUCCUUAUCCAGUUUUCUUUUGGAUCAUUACUCUUCAUUAGCAAGUUAGAGCUUUUAACAUAAUAAGAAACCUUAACCCUUGACCAGCGUAACCCAACAGAGCCCUCAGGCUAGGAGGGCAGCAACGGCUCUCCACUGCCCCCUUGUGGCAGGAUGCAUUGCCCACUGGGCAAUGAACCUUCUGGAAGGGAAGAUCAGCCUCCCUCCUGCUCUUUACUGGUUCAUAUCCUUCAGUCUGAAUAAACCCCCAGAGCCUCCCACCCCACUUCUGGGGAUUGAACCCAGGGGCACUCUACCACUGAGCCACAUCCCCAGCACUGUUUAUUUUUUUAUUUUGAGACAAGGUCUCACUGAAUUGCUGAGGCUGGCCUCAAACUUGUGAUCUUCUGCCUCAGCCUCUUGAGUCACUAGAAUUAUAGUGUACAGCACCAUGCCCAGCAGAACUCAUUUCCUUUAAAUUCAUUCCUUUAAUUUCUUUAUGUAAUAGGUUCAGUGUUUUUCCUUCUUUUUUUUUCCCCUCAACCACUGAGCCACAUCCCUAGCCCUUUAUUAUUAUUAUUAUUAUUAUUAUUAUUAUUAUUAUUAUUAUUAUUAUUAUUUUCUUAUUUAGAGACAGGGUCUCACUGAGUUGCUCAGGGCCUCCCUAAGUUUCUGAGGCUGGCUUUGCACUUGUGAUCCUCCUGCCUCAGCCUCCUGAGACACUGGGAUUACAUGCAUGCACUACCGUGCCCUGCUUUUCCUCUUUAUCUUCUAUGAAAUCCUUUCUGAAACUCCGUGGCUCAUUCAUUCAAAACACAAGGACUUAUUAUCAACUAAAUUGAGAAUGUGAAGAAUUGCUGCCCCAAGUGUGCAGGAUGUGUGACCGUAACACAGAGUUGGAAUGUGCCGUAUGGAGGGACAUGCAGUGUGCCAUGGGGACACAGGAUAUUGCUGCCAGCUCCUCCUGGGAAAUCAAGGCAGGUGGCUUAUAGGACAGGAAACGCUAAUGUAGUAGCCACGUUUUCUCAGCGUCUCAUGCAGUAAUAUACUUUGCUUCCUUCUCAUAUGAAUUGAGCUGGGUCCUCCGUUUCCUUUCUCUCUUGAUGACCUCAGCCAGCUGCUCGUAUCUAAAUGCCAUAGAGCACUACACACACACCUCUAGCCCAGACCUUCUCACACCCCAGAUUCCUCCAUCCAGCUGUUCACGUGUCCCUUCGACUUGGAUUGGCCUCCCCGACAUGACAUGUUCAAAGCACAGAUCUUGAUUUUUGCUUUCUUAACCUCCUUCCCUCCAGCCUUUCCCAUCUUACUAAAUAUCAGGUGUUUCCCGUCUUAGUGAAUAUCAAUCCAGCUGUUCAAGCCAAAAACCCAAGGAUCACCUUUUCCUCUGUGCCCUUCACCUCCUUCAACCAAAUUAUCCUUUGACUUCUAUCCCAAGUCUCCUGCUCUUCUUCCUACCUCUAGUGUAGCAUUCUCUCACCUGGAUCACAUCUGGUCUCUCUGCGGUAUUCACUCAACACAUACCUACAGAGGUCCUUCUGCUAGAAUAGGAGCCAGAUGGUGACCAGCAGUCACCUAAGUAGAAGUAUGAGAUCUUGUGUCUCCUAGGGGUCACAGAGAGCUGGAGUUCAGAGGGCAGUGAGGAUCUGUGGAGGUAGGACUAGAUUUAGGGAGCGGGAUGGCCCCCAAAGAAAUGAUCCCUGAGCUGAGACCCUAAGGGUAACCCAGAAGAAGGUUCUAGGCAAAGGCUACGGUACAGUUGGCUUUCCGUAUCCACAGGUUCUGCACGCGUCUGUUCAACCAAGUGUGGAAUGAAAUGUUUUUAAAUCUGCUGAUUAUGUAAUUCGAGUCUGUCUCUGUACUAACCACAGCCAGACUUCCACUUCCUGCCGCCCUCCCUGCACCGGGCAGUGUAGCACCUGCUCCCACAGCGCUUACACUGUGUCAGCUGGGGUAGGUGACCUGGGAGGACACCCAGGGACUUGAGCAGCCUCAGAUCUCGGUUCUGCAGAGGUCCUGGGGCAGUGCCCCGUGGACACUGGAGGUGGCUGUCCUCAGCCGUCCUGUGGUAGGAGGAGACAGGGGGGAGGCCCGUGUGGACGAGGACAGAGGCCCUCUGAGGCCCCUAGGGCUGGCCUUGAGGUCAGUGCCCUUACCACAGGAGCCCUGGAGGGCCACUGCAGGUCUCGAGGGUCACUUUUUCUGUCCCACACUUUGGCCUGCUUUCCCAGCUUUUGUCUACCAGAUUUCCUGUCCCACUCUGAGAGGACCACUUGGGACCUUUGCCUCUGAUUCCCACCAACACCCCGGUCCUCGCUCUGAACUGAUACUCUUACAUCCCACGUCAGGAAACCACGGUCGUCAUGUAAGAGAGGCCGGUCUUAAUCCCCUGACCUCCCUCCCUCCUCCGAACCUCACUCUACCCCUAGGCACAAGGGAAGCGCCUUCCGCCUCCCCUUGAGUCCUGCGUGCCCUCCCUCUUGUCUGUUCUGGGGCUUCCUGCUUCUCCCCUCGUCAUCGGUGGUCCUUGCCAUCAGCCUGGAAACACGGCCGACCUGUGGACACCUUCCCUUGACCUGGGUCUCCCUCCAGGAACACCCUGGGUCUCCGCUCCUUCACAGCCAAGCCUCUCAGGACAGUCACCCAUGCUAAAAAGGCUGACCACCAGCCACAUGAGGUUAUUGAGCACUUAAAUGUGCCAGCUUGAUCAAGGGACUGAAUUAUUAUAUUUAAUUUUGAUUAAUAGCCUCGUGUGGCUACCAUAGUGGAUAGCCAAUUCCAAAGGAUUCAAAUUACAUAAUUAACAAACUCAGUCAUUCUCAUAUGUGUGCGUGCGCAUAAUACAUGUACAUAUAUGUAUAUAUACACGUGUGCAUGUAUGUAUGCAGGUGUCACACAUAUAAAACUGUGUCUAAGAGUUCGUAUUUUUAGAAGUAGUUGGACACAAUACCUUUAUUUUAUUAAUUUAUUUUUAUGUGGUGCUGAGGAUCGAACCCAGUGCCUCACACAUGCUAGGCAAGUGCUCUACCACCGAUCCACAGCCCCAGCCCGAGUUCAUAUUCUUUUCAAAGGCAGAACAGUCAUGAGAUCCUCCUGGACCCCUGGCAGUUCGUUCCCUACUCCCCAACCUCUCUUCAUGCCUCAGUCUCUCUCAUUCUGAACUUGGCCCGCCGGCCAGGAGGGACCAGCUGCUUAGGACAACCAAAGAAGAGUGGGACUCUCCGUGUGCUUGGACAUGGAGACCAGUUUCUUCUACAGCUGGAGCCGAUGCAUCCAGAACCGCAGCCUCUGUGCUGCCCAGUUCUGUUUCCAAGCGGUGGAUUCAGAUCUGGUUGAAAGCUGGGGUCUUGACACUUGUCUGCUGGGUUUCCCGGCUGCUCUGCUCUGUCAUGCCCUCCCUCUGGGAUUGCAGAAAUCCCCAGGAAGGGUGGGGGCCACUGCCUGCUGGGCUCGUGCCUCCUCUAUCAUCGGAGCCCAGGGCCCAGCCCAGGUCCACGUCCCUGCCCCACUGUUCAUCUUGGGCCCAGCAGAAAUCCACAGAUGACUCCCCAAGAAAGCUUGGCUCCCCAGCCUAAUGCUGUGCUUGUGGAUAUGCUCUCUCCAGGCUGACCCUUGUGAGGUGGUCAGGAACGGAGGGGACACUGGGAUUGGGUACUUUAAAAUCAGACAGUGUUAAGUAAGUGAUUCAAGUGGGGAGAGAGAUCUUGGCUUCUCAUUUCUGCUUAAGAAGAAAGUCUAAAUUCCGUGUUAGUAGUUCUUUAAACCCUCUUAUUACUCCCUAAUCUUCCUUUCUAGUAAAGGCAGGCUGGCUGGAGUCUUUGCAGAUAAUAGUACAGUAUCUAGUCGGAAUUAGUCUUAUGAUUUUAUCACAUUCGGCUUUAUAGCCACCUUCAAUUUAUGGCAAAUGGCACCGGUGUUCCCUUUGAGCACUGUGAAAUUUCCUUUUUAAGUGUGUCGAGCACAAUGGCACACGUAAUCCCAUCCACUCAGGAGGCUGAGGCGAAAGGAUCACAAGUUCAAAGCCAGCCUGGGCAGCUUAGCUGAAAGUAAAAAGUUGAAGAGUCUAGGAUAUAGCUCAGUGGUGGAGUGGCCCUGGGUUCGAUCCCCAGUACCACCAGCACCCCCCCCCAACAACAACAAAAAAAAAAGUAUGUGUAUUUUUUUUUAAUAUUUAUUUUUUAGGUGCAGAUCGACACAACACAAUGCCUUUAUUUUUUAAUGUGGUGCUGAGGCUCGAACCCAGGUCCCGCCCGUGCUAGGCGAGUGCUGUAUCGCUGAGCCACAGUCGCAGCCCCUAAAAGUUAACAUCUUUAUAUAUAUAUAAACAAUGUGUGUGCAUUUUUAAAGAAUCAGUGUAGAGAAAACACUCAUGGUCCUCCACGGGACAUCUGGAGCUAGCAAAAGUCAUGUUGCGAUUCAUGAAUGACCAAACUCCGGGAAAUGCUGCCUUAGUAACAUCUGUCAGAAUGGACGGGUCCGGAUGUCUGCUAGGCGGGCCACGCUGAAAGCCAGCCCAGCCCUUUCUGCAACAGCGUCCAAGUCUUGGUUUGUCUGUGUCCCGCUUCUCGCUUCUCGUCCCAAAGGUUCAUUUACCAAGCGAAAGUCGGGGGCCGCUGGUUUCCAGCCGUCUGCGCGCACAGCAAGAAGCAAGGCAAGCAGGAAGCAGCCGAUGCGGCCCUCCGCGUCCUGAUUGGGGAGAGCGAGAAGGCAGAGCGCAUGGGUUUCACAGAGGUAACCCCAGUGACAGGGGCCAGUCUCAGAAGAACUAUGCUCCUCCUCUCCAGGUCCCCAGAAGCGCAGCCAAAGACAGUUAAGACGUCUACUUUUGGUGCUAUCUUUUUGUUUUGGGGGUGGAGCUGGCUUGUCACUAGCUGUCAUGUGAAUUGUCCCUUGGCUAUGCUACUAGCCUCAAUAGAGCAUAUAACUGGGACACUAGAUGUGAAAGGGGAAAGAAAGGUGGUGCACGAGUCCAUUAGCACGUGACCCCCUGCCCACUGUGAAGCAUGGUGGACGCGGGCGUGGCUGCAUGACCCUCACAGCCCCCUGUCCCCACAGCUUCCUCUCACUGGCAGUACCUUCCACGACCAGAUAGCGAUGCUGAGCCACCGGUGCUUCAACACCCUCACAAACAGUUUCCAGCCCUCCCUGCUCGGCCGCAAAAUCCUAGCCGCCAUCAUUAUGAAGAAAGACCCUGAGGACAUGGGUGUCGUGGUCAGCUUGGGGACAGGUGAGAGAGGGUCUCCCCAGCCACCAGCCUCUCAGUGACUGGAAGCAGGUCUUCCUCACCCUCCCCUGAGUCCAUGUGAGCAAGUCCAAGCCCGGGGACCAGGCCGCGCGUCCCCUUGUCCUGACAUGGAUCUUAAAAAGCUCUGGAUUUUGGCCAGGUGCCAGGGUGCCUUUAAUGCCACCCACUCAGGAGGCUGCGGCAGGGUGAUGGAGAAUUCAGAGCCAGCUCAGCAACUGAGCAAGACCUAAGCAACAGCAAGACCCUGCCUCUCAAAAAAUACUGCCGAGGGCUGGGCAUGUGGCUCAGGGGCUAAGUGCCCACGGGUUCAAUCCCCAGUACACCCCCUCAAAAAAAAGCUUUGCAUUUUGGAACACUUCAGAUUUCCACAUUAGGGAUGCUCAACUAGCAGACUCCAUGCAAAUAUUCCAAAAUCUGAACAACUCCAGACUCUGAAACACUGUGGUCCUGAGCACUUGGGUAAAGGACACUCACCUGCGUGUCAUUUAGCUGCAGUCAGCUCAGGGUGGGGGUGGACUCCUUCUCCCUAGGUAAGAGGAUGACUGUCCAGGCUGUUCUCCGCGAGCCUGAAGACAGACUGCCCCACCCACUUCACCCUCCUUCUCCUUUGACUUUUCCCUUUUUCUCCCAAUCCUUCAGGGAAUCGCUGUGUCAAAGGAGACUCCCUCAGCCUCAAGGGAGAGACCGUCAACGACUGUCAUGCGGAGAUCAUCUCCCGAAGAGGCUUCAUCAGGUGAGCGAGCACCUGCCGGGGCUGCCCCCGCCCACCUGGGCACAGUGGCUCCGGCACAGGCCUUCCUGACACCCCGGCAGACGGCAGGUCCCUGAGCCAGCAGUGGUGGCCUUCGGGUUUAUCCUGUGAUCUGAGCCCUCGUAGAGCCAGUCCCCUCUGUGACCCUCUGCCUCCCACCCCCAGCCUGGUCCUAAGACCUUUUUUCUGCCAACUCUGCUGUCUUCUGUUUCUCAAAACAAAGUGACCCUGGGUCCUCGGGCCUUGGGGAUGAGGCGGCCUCCAUCUCCAUUUGAGGACCCAUCAGCACCUCGUGUCGCCGCGGCUUCUCCUCUGGUUCACCUUUUCUCUAAUUUGUGAAGGGAGCGGGGAAGAGGCAGCUGCCUCCCGAAGCCUUGAGCCAGUUCCUUCUGCCUGGAGUCCCUGCAGCCGCCACAGCAAGGGGCCUUUGGCGGAAAUGAAACGGACCGAAAGGCUCACUGUGCUUUAUGAAAUGCUGAGGUCUCUCUGGGAAGCUUCCCCACCUGAGAAGCUAGAAGAGCUGCACCAGGAAACUUGUCCCCACUUGGGGCUCAGAUAGGGGUCAGCUCCAAGCACCAUCUGCUCUCGCCAGAAUCCAGCCUGCCGUCCUAACUGCACGUCUUUUACAGGUUCCUUUACAGUGAGUUAAUGAAAUACAACCCCCAGACUGCGAAGGACAGUAUAUUUGAGCUUGCCAGGGGAGGAGAGAAGCUCCAGAUAAAAAAGACUGUUUCGUUCCACCUGUACAUCAGGUCUGUACCCUGCCGGGCUCCCAGGAUGGGCUUCCACCUGCUCUGCCGGCCCCUAAAUCUGACCCCACGCAACAGGCCACACGCUCCACUGAGGUACCAUGAGGUACAUUCCCCAGUGGAGGAUGACUGUCCUAGACACAGCUGCCCCCUCCAGCAUCCCCUGGUGGGCUCCAGGAAACAUCCCAGCUCCAGCCGCAGCAGACUAGGGACCCCGAGAAGUUGGAGUUCCCUCCUGCGCAGGUGAGUGACGGACACCCCUGUGUUGCAGCACUGCCCCGUGUGGAGACGGCGCCCUCUUCGACAAGUCCUGCAGUGACCGCGCCCUGGAAAGCACAGAUUCCCGCCACUACCCUGUCUUUGAGAAUCCCAAACAAGGCAAGCUGCGCACCAAGGUGGAGAAUGGUGAGUGCCACACAGGCUCUGCGAGACCCCCGUGUGCGCCACUCGUCACGGGGGAGGACUGUAGGGAGGGGAAGUUCCAUUCUGAAUCUGUUAGCUCAGGUGAUGAGAGCCUGGGGGGGAAGAAAGGACAGAGCGUGUCCUCCUGGGGUCUCCACGGCCGGCACAGGCAGAGUGCGGGGGGAGGGCGGCGGAAGUGAAAAGUCAGGCCCUCCGUCUGGUGGCCUCGGACCUGGCCUCCUGCCCCCUCGCGCCUUCCUGCCUGUCCCCCAGCAUCUCCUUCUCCUCCGGUCACCCCUGCUCCCUUCAUGCUUCAGCAGUCGUCUGCGUCACUGUCAAGCCCAAGUCAGGUCACGUCAGUUCCCUGCUGGCCACCCUGAAGUCUGGACAGCACCACGUGGCCCAGCAGUCCUCCUGGGCUAUCCCCAGGAGAAGUGAAAGCCCAGGUCCACACAGAGCUAGUUCGGGCGCCUUCACAGCAGCCGGGCAGGGGACACGGCCAGCGCCCUCCCCUCCAUGACAGAAAAGUAAAACCGCCACAUCCAUGCGAGGGACUGUCCUUGGCCAUGACAUGAAGUAAGCAUUGACCCAGCUACAGUGAGGUCACCCUGAAAACGUCAUGCUAAGCGCAAAAAGCCCCAAAAGAUCACGUGGUGUGACUCCAUUUCUAUGAAAUAUCCAGAAUAAAUGAGUUCUACAGACAGGAAGUGCCUGAGAGGCUGCCCGGAUGAGGGACGGAGGGAGGUGGGAGUGAGAGCCAGCCGAGGUCGGGUUGGGGUUGAUCGUGCCGAUGUAUAAUCCCAUGGUGCAUAACCUCAGAAACGCCAAAAACCACUGAACAGCUUGCUUUCAAUGGCGAGUUGUAGUAUACGACUUGUAUCUCAGUAAAGCUGGUAUUUUUUAAAAAAACGCAAGCACCAUGUAGGGUCUCCCACUGCCCUUGAUACGAAGGCAACCUGAGCCAGGCACAGUGGCCCAGGCCUGCAAUCCCAGCAGCUCCGGAGGCUGAGGCAGGAGGAUCACGAGUUCAAAGCCAGCCUUAGCGAGGCCCAGAGCAACUCAGCAAGACCCUGUCUGUACUGAAAGCCCACCUCCCGGCCUCAGCCUGCCCAGUCUUCUCUUUGGUGAUUCUCUGGUGCCCCCGAAACACCGAAACCCUCGCUGCCUCAGGCCGUGGCUUCUGCCGCUCGCUCCCUGUCUGAAUGGGUUAGGACUCUUCUCCCUCCAGCUGCUCCCUGCCUCCUCCACCCAGGAGCUCGCGGUGCCGUCCCCCCGGCUCUCCCACAGGCCUUCCCCACGCUGUCAGCAUCUGGAGUUCCCACCUGCUCACUGGUGCAUCUGCUUAGUGCUCUCCUUUCCCUUUCUGUCCCUCACCCCUGAACACCGCGGGACAGCACGGACCUCACUGAGGUCUGCUCCCCAGUGUUUCCCAGCUCCCAGCACAGUGACCGCCGUGUCCUCCAGGACUGUGAGCCACAUGGAGAAUGAAGGGCCGAGCUGCCGGUGGCCCGGCCUCAGGAGCUCAAGUCCCGCGCUAGGGGUGGUUUGGUGGCCUCUGUGGAUCUGACCCGAGUCUCUCACACAGGGGAAGGCACCAUCCCUGUGGAGUCCAGUGACAUUGUGCCUACGUGGGAUGGCAUCCGGCUUGGGGAGAGACUCCGCACCAUGUCCUGUAGUGACAAAAUCCUACGCUGGAACGUGCUGGGCCUGCAAGGGGCACUGCUGACCCACUUCCUACACCCUGUGUAUCUCAAAUCUGUCACACUGGGUAAGGGACCUGCCUUGGGAGUUGGAACCCACCUGUCCUUCUCCACCCCAGUCCCAGAAAACUUCAUGCUUCAGUCAACCCACUUUCCACAGUGAGCUCAGCCCCGUCGUCAGCAGGGGGUGCCGGCCUGCACAGGCCGGAGGGUGGCCAGGAGGCCGAGGAGGGGGGCCAGGCCAGUCUCCAAGACGGGUCGGAGAAACGCGGCAGAUGGCAGCAGCAGCAUCUGGUUUUCCUUGUUCUCCUCAGUCCUUGGCCUUACCCGAAACAUUCCGUUUUGUGCUUCAAUAUUUGAUGAUCCUGUGUGUCCUGUGCUGCCACAGUUAGAGGCCCUGCCUGUCAGGGGCUCUCUGUCCUGACAAUUCUGCCUUAUACCUUCCAGCCCCCGGGGGCCUCAGCUUCUCCAUAGCUUUGGUGAACACAGAUGUAUGGGUUUUUGUUUCUGUUUUUACUUUCUUUUUUAUACCCAGGGUACCUUUUCAGCCAAGGACAUCUGACCCGGGCUAUCUGCUGUCGUGUGACAAGAGACGGGAGUGCGUUUGAGGCUGGAUUACGAUACCCCUUUGUUGUCAACCACCCGAAGGUCUGUGCCCCUGUCCUGUUCCCCUUUUCAAGCAUUCCCAUCAGCAGAGCAGAAAUAUGGUCAAGGGAGCCAUGGUUGGUGUCCUCUGGAGGCCAAGGGCUUUCCUCCUCUAGCCUGACACGAUCUGAAUCGAGGUGGAGAGUACUUCUAGAGUGUGCUCCGGUGUAACCAAGCCAUGUUAAAUCAAGGGGGAGACGGUGGCCCACCUCCCUCUUCCCCAUG
This 22854-nucleotide long non-coding RNA is filed under the name Marmota monax (woodchuck). The stretch from base 6303 to 6375 matches the Rfam family "tRNA". The record is from RNAcentral. Lineage: Eukaryota; Metazoa; Chordata; Mammalia; Rodentia; Sciuridae.